This 85-nucleotide transfer RNA is filed under the name Amphiplicatus metriothermophilus. Its description in RNAcentral is "tRNA-Leu". It matches the Rfam family "tRNA". From Rfam's summary of the family: Transfer RNA (tRNA) molecules are approximately 80 nucleotides in length. Their secondary structure includes four short double-helical elements and three loops (D, anti-codon, and T loops). RNAcentral also lists the same sequence under 1 other name. The record is from RNAcentral. Lineage: Bacteria; Pseudomonadati; Pseudomonadota; Alphaproteobacteria; Parvularculales; Parvularculaceae.
GCGGUUGUGGCGGAACUGGUAGACGCGCAGCGUUGAGGUCGCUGUGGAGCAAUCCGUGGAGGUUCGAGUCCUCUCAACCGCACCA